Molecule: non-coding RNA, 85 nt
Filed under: Dehalogenimonas alkenigignens
Lineage: Bacteria; Bacillati; Chloroflexota; Dehalococcoidia; Dehalococcoidales; Dehalococcoidaceae
Description: c-di-GMP-II-GAG riboswitch aptamer
Rfam family: c-di-GMP-II-GAG riboswitch aptamer
Source: Rfam by way of RNAcentral
CGCCUGACAGGAAGCGAUAAUCCGCCCCUCCGUAACUGGUCACUUGGAGGACGGGGAGCCAGUAGUGAAACCGGCCUGGGAUUAA